CUAGUCUCUCAUAGAAACUUCUGGCCUCUGGACACUGUGGGAGCAACUUUUCCUUUAUUAGACUGUCUCCUCUUUAACUGAAGAUACUUUAGCACAGCAAGCAUCUCUUUUAUGCUUACAUUAUGCAGUUAUGCAGACUUGGUGUACGUCCUUCAAGGACAGUCUAAGAAUCUUUGAUUCUAUUUCUGCUGGAUACAUUGUUGCAGAGAUGAAUAUUGCAGCAUGACUGGGAAGCCUGUCCUUCAUUACUUCAAUUGAAGAAGAAGAAUGGAGUCCAUCCGGUGGCUCCUGGCAGCAGCUGGAGUAGAGUUUGAGGAAGAACUUUUUGAAACCCAUGAAGAGUUUGAGAAGUUAAUCCAAGGUGGAACCCUGAUAAGAGAAGGAGAUGAACCUUGAAUACAUCCUCCACCGAGCUACAACAAGAUUCUUCCCCGUUUAUGAGAAGGCCCUGAGAGACCACGGGCAAGACUUUCUUGUGGGCAAUCGGCUGAGCUUGGCUGAUGUCCAGCUCCUUGAAGUCAUCUUAAUGGCUGAAGAAUGCAAAGCCAGUGUUCUCUCGGGUUUCCCUCUGCUACAGGACUUCAAGGUGAGAACCAGCCAAAUUCCUACAAUUAACAGCUUCCUCCAACCUGGAAGCCAGAGGAAGCCUCCUUUGGAGGAGCGAUCCAUUGGGACUGCAAAGGACAUAUUCAAAUUUGAAUGAGGACUGUUUCUUAAAAACAUGAGCAAUAUAGUAGCUGAGUAUUAACAGCUACAGAGGCUGGAGUUACUCAGUAAGUAUACUGAGUAACUUGACACUGCAUUCAUAAAAAGACACUCACUAAGUAUAUGGCCAGAGAAAUAUCCUGAAGUUAGUAAUAAAUGUUAGGAAUCUUAGUAUGUUAGCAAUGUUAGAAUGUUAGUAAUGGAAAUAUUAAAUGUGUAAGAGAAAAACUACUAGAAGCUUAUCAAUAAACUACAAGAACCAACUCUUGUUUGAAGUAAGACAGGCUACCAAGACAGAAUUCAGAAAAUCCAAGGAGCCCUCGGCCUUCUGUAUGAUCCUAGAAUAAACUUGUAUGUAGCAAGUGAAA
RNAcentral lists this long non-coding RNA (1073 nucleotides) under Mus musculus (house mouse). RNAcentral's name for it is "predicted gene, 71569". Lineage: Eukaryota; Metazoa; Chordata; Mammalia; Rodentia; Muridae. The record is from RNAcentral.